GGGUGAGACUCUUGGACCUCCAUCAGCUGACGUGGAUGUUUGAUGGUCUUCCUCUCUAGUGCCAGAUGAUUCAUCCAUGAAUUCAGCAGCUACAGACUGAAAUGAAGCUCAUGCUGCUGUUAUUGAAUUCCUGUUCCAGAUUAGAUGUUCAGAGCUCACCUUGAAUGCAUGCCGUCUGCUGUCUGAUAGUUUUUCUCAUUGUAGUCUUCAAUAAAGUCUUUUUCCUCAUGUCAGGAUGUGGUGAGACUCUUUCUCAGUCUCUGCAGACGUCCCUCAUUGUGCAUCUCCAGAAAAGAAACAGAAAAACUGGUCACUGCUUCAGCAUCAAACGCUCUCCAGCACUGAGAGUGUUUUAGGAAUUCAUUCAUUGUGUUGUGAACUUUGAAGGAGCAGAAACUUUACAGCUGCCAAAGAUAUGAGCUCCAAUUCUGGAUGUUUUAGGAAAUGAAGUUCAUCAAAUGAUCACUUGAUUUUUGCUGAUAACUCUCAUUAAAUUACUGAAGAAAUCUAACAUAAAAACCUGUAAAAUCUCAGGCAGCUUUUGUUAAAGUUUGUCUAUAAUUCUAUCAUCAUGUUCUGGAACCAGGACUCUGCAGAAGUUCCUUCAAUCAGAUACUUGUGUGUUUCUAUUUAAGGCCUCAGUGACUUUAAUGUUUAAAUCAGUCCAGUAAAUAUUUGGAGUAAAAAUGUUUAAAAUUUUGAUUUAGAUAGAUUUGUGUCAAAUAAUAUUGUAGAGUCUCACUUAAAUAUCUCCAAAUGAGUGUAUUUACAUUUUAUAGAAUAUUUGAUUUCUUAAUCUCAAUACUGUAGGGUCUGACCUUAAAUAUUACAAUGAUGUAAAUUUAAAUAGUACUUUAGUGCAGAGUCAUAAAAUUUAAUCAGCUAAAGUUACAUUAUAAAUAUCACUGUACAAUCUUAACCUGAACAUUCAUAUUAUUGAGGUAAAUUUACAUAAAUCAUGAUAUUCUACAGUCUUAACUGGAAUAUUUCUAACAUUAAUCUUUUUGUAUUGUGCUGAUAAACAACAAUAACCCAACUUUCAGAUAAUAUUUAUUGUCUGUGAUUGUGAGACUAAAUUCCUCCACAUUCUGGAACUUCCAUGCAGCAGCUGUAGGAAUAAAUAAAAAUAAAAUCUGCUAAUUUCCACAUUAUGCAUAUUUAUUUAUUUUUAAUAUCUCAGACUGAAUGGUAGCUGGCAGUAAAAACAAACUCAUCUGCUGGACUGCAUUUCCCAAAAUGGAAACAUGGACAGAAUUUAAUACUCAUGUAUCCAUAGCAACGCUAACAUUUCUGCUUCUUACCAAAGUUCACAACACAAGUAAAGAUUUUAAUGUAAAACUUCAGGGAUUACUGCUAACCAUAAGUAUUCUGAUCAAUACUUCAUGAUCAAUAUCAGGACAGAUGUUACAACUCCAGCUGUUGCAUUAGACUGCAGUUAUUCACAGAGAAAUUAAAACAUCACAUUCCUCAUAAAAACUAGAUGGGACUUUUAUUAAAUAAAGUGUUGGUGAAUAAACUGUAAAAAGUGCAAAGCAGCUCCAUUAAAUCAGGAGAUGUGAGACUUCCACAGCGUGGAUCACCAUCUGCUGUGUUGAUUCAUAGCUGAAUGUCAGAAUGAACUGAGAUAGAAAAGCUGCUUUGAGCUGCAACAUUACGGUCUGACAAUCCAACACCAUCACAGUUUUCAUCUGGUUGUUUUGCUCCAACAUGCUGUGAAGUUCAGUUUUUACCUGAAUCAAUACAGAGAUUCUAUUUCCAACCAAGACUGGAAUAAAAAUUACAAUGUUAUGAGGUUAUUAAUGCAACUAAAUCCUUUCAGAUAGAAGGAUUUACUUCUAAGUUCUAAUUCAAGUUUCAGUUGGAGCACAUUGCAUUCACAAAGAAAAACAGCGAUACCUUCAUAGCAACAUUUAAUAAACCUAAAGCUUCCCUGUUGGCACAUUGGUGAAG
Amphiprion ocellaris (clown anemonefish) is the source of this 1950-nucleotide long non-coding RNA. NCBI's taxonomy places the organism in Eukaryota, Metazoa, Chordata, Actinopteri, Pomacentridae. The record is from Ensembl.